AUUGAACGCUGGCGGCAUGCUUUACACAUGCAAGUCGAACGGCAGCGCGGGCUUCGGCCUGGCGGCGAGUGGCGAACGGGUGAGUAAUACAUCGGAACGUGCCCAGUAGUGGGGGAUAGCUCGGCGAAAGCCGGAUUAAUACCGCAUACAACCUGAGGGUGAAAGCGGGGGAUCUUCGGACCUCGCGCUAUUGGAGCGGCCGAUGGCAGAUUAGCUAGUUGGUGGGGUAAAGGCCUACCAAGGCGACGAUCUGUAGCUGGUCUGAGAGGACGACCAGCCACACUGGGACUGAGACACGGCCCAGACUCCUACGGGAGGCAGCAGUGGGGAAUUUUGGACAAUGGGCGAAAGCCUGAUCCAGCAAUGCCGCGUGUGUGAUGAAGGCCUUCGGGUUGUAAAGCACUUUUGGCGGGAACGAAAGGGACUGUGCAAAUACCACGGUUCGAUGACGGUACCCGCAGAAUAAGCACCGGCUAACUACGUG
RNAcentral lists this ribosomal RNA (484 nucleotides) under uncultured bacterium. RNAcentral describes it as "partial 16S ribosomal RNA". It matches the Rfam family "Bacterial small subunit ribosomal RNA", at positions 29 to 507 of the family's 1533-position model. The record is from RNAcentral.